This is a non-coding RNA of Macrolepiota fuliginosa MF-IS2, 85 nucleotides long. The record is from the annotation of a GenBank genome assembly. NCBI's taxonomy places the organism in Eukaryota, Fungi, Basidiomycota, Agaricomycetes, Agaricales, Agaricaceae.
GUCCUUGUCGAUUAGUGGUUAAAUCAUCUCGUUGUGGUGCGUGACCUACUCCGAGAAGCCGGAAGUUCGAAUCCUCCCUGGGACA